UGAACGUAUACACCUGUACGUAUAAAAAAAGAACGUCUGCAAGUUGAGUAUAAAAGCGCUCUCGUGUUUUUAUAUUUUGACCAAAAAGAACAUGACAUGAAUAAUUUUUAUUUUUCCCUUUAUAAAAAUGUUUUAAAAACUAAUAGGUACAAUAUCUGUAAAAACACUUUUUAUCAUGGUGGAUUAAUAAUAAGUAAAGUAUACGUGUCAUAUAAACAUACGAUUUUAAAUAUAAAACAAAACACUAAGGUAUCAAAAAGUGAAAGAAAAAGGAAAAGGAAAAGGAAAUCAAUAGAGGAAGAUGAUAGUAAAGCGAAAAAAAACUUACAUUUAGAUAUAAAAGAUGUGAAUAUUAAUAAUUUAUUAGAAUGUAUUGGAAAUGAUAAAAAGUUAUUAUUAUAUACACUAAUCAAAAUUCAAAAAAAAGAACUACCAGAAAUGGAAGAUGAAGAAGAAGAAGAAGAAGAAGAAGAAAAAAAAAAAAAAAAAGACAGACUGGACGAUUUGUUUCAUGCUAUUAGUAGAAAAAUAAUUAAUAAAGAAGCUGAUUUGCACUUAAAAGAAAAAUUAGUUUAUUUAAGUUGUAUUAAUAGUAAAAAGUAUGCUGAAAAAAUAAGUUUAAUUAAAGACGAAAAACAAAUGAGAUGUAUAGAUAAUAAAAAUAUAUAUAAUUAUUUUUGUACCGUAUUGAAGAAUAGAAAAAAUAAUCAUUUGUAUGAUAAAGAAAUUGAAAAAGAUAUUAUUUUUUUUAUUACAAAAAAAAUGAACCGAAAACAUAUAAACGCUACUGCGAUUUAUUUAUCCAAUUUAUCUUACUUAAAUAGUAAAAUUGUUAUCAACACAACUAGUUUAUACAUUUUUUGUUUAUAUAUAUUAAAAUAUAUAAAAAAUAAACUUAAAAGUAGGUUAAACAUAGUUAACAUAUACAGUUAUGUAAAUUUAUUAACGUCUAUAAUACACGUAUCUAAAUUAAAAAAUGAGAAAAAUAAAAUACCAUAUGAACAACAAAUGGAUAAUUUUAAUACUAUGAUAAUGCUAAAUAAAAAUGAAUAUUCAUUUGAUUGCUCAUAUUUUACAAAAUUUUGUCAUAAAAGUAUAUCUGUAAAAAAAAAUGGUGAACGUGUUAUUAAUAAUAUAAAACAACCUCUUCUGUAUAAUAACAAUAAUAUAUUUUUUCAUUAUUUUAAUAUAUUUGAAUUUGUUUAUAAAAAAGAAGAUGGUAUAGAAGAAGGAGAACUAAAAGAGGGGCAAAUGUAUGUAGGUGAUCAAACUGUACCAUUCACUAUAAAUGACAAAGAUGGUAUAACUCAAUUUUAUCAAUUUGAUCAAAAUGUUUAUAAUAUAAAAACUGAAAUAAUAUAUAUAAUUUAUUUUAUGAAUUAUACAUUAACAGAUACUCUUAAAAAAUGCUUACGUAAUUAUAAAAAAGGAAUCUGUAAUCAAAAUUUCUAUAAAAAUUUUAAAAAUAAAAUAUAUAUAAUAAUUGAUUAUAUGUUUAAUUGUUUGCAGUUUGGAGUUUUUUGUAAGACGUUAUUUCAGCAUCUGGAGCAGGUAAUAGUUCGUAUGUGUUAUGGAAGUAAUAGUUACAGUAACAACAUAGUUAGUGCUAGUGGAGCAGAUAUAACUCCUGCUACUAGUAUAUCUAACAUCACAAACAACAAUAACAACUUUCUAUGUAGUUUUUUUUCACCAUCCAAUACAAUCAAUUUAAUCCAUUUGUUAUCUAUCUAUUACAACUCCAGUAUAAUCGACGAAAAAAUAAAAUCAG
RNAcentral lists this long non-coding RNA (1768 nucleotides) under Piliocolobus tephrosceles (Ugandan red Colobus). RNAcentral describes it as "lncRNA (ENSPTEG00000016151.1)". The record is from RNAcentral. Lineage: Eukaryota; Metazoa; Chordata; Mammalia; Primates; Cercopithecidae.